This 362-nucleotide long non-coding RNA is filed under the name Nicotiana benthamiana. RNAcentral's name for it is "long non-coding RNA (NBEN_LNC012729)". The record is from RNAcentral. Lineage: Eukaryota; Viridiplantae; Streptophyta; Magnoliopsida; Solanales; Solanaceae.
GGGAAUUUCUUUGUUUUCUAAAUUUACUGAGGUAAAAAAAGUUGAUUAUCAGUAAAACACCUGUUCUUGGUAAUUUCAUAUUGAAAUUUGUAUUUUUAACUAUAGAUUCUGAUCCUUAAAGGUGCUUACUUUUCUGGGGAUUAAUUACCUUUUUGGAUUUUGGGUCUUUUUGGGGACUUUCUAAAUUUAUUGAGGUUCAAUCUGAGUAACACAGCGGGUUUACCUUUUUGGAUUUUGGGUCUUUUUUGGGACUUGCUAAAUUUAUUGAGGUUCAAUCUGAGUAAACAGCAGGUAAUCGCUGUAAAAUUUUUGUUCUUGAUAACUGGUGAAGAGGUUGAUUGGAUCAUCAUGGAUCAUGUUGU